GUUGUCCGGAUUUAUUGGGCGUAAAGCGAGCGCAGGCGGUUAGAUAAGUCUGAAGUUAAAGGCUGUGGCUUAACCAUAGUACGCUUUGGAAACUGUUUAACUUGUGUGCAGAAGGGGAGAGUGGAAUUCCAUGUGUAGCGGUGAAAUGCGUAGAUAUAUGGAGGAACACCGGUGGCGAAAGCGGCUCUCUGGUCUGUAACUGACGCUGAGGCUCGAAAGCGUGGGGAGCAAAUAGGAUUAGAUACCCUGGUAGUCCACGCCGUAAACGAUGAGUGCUAGGUGUUGGGUCCUUUCCGGGACUCAGUGCCGUAGCUAACGCAUUAAGCACUCCGCCUGGGGAGUACGACCGCAAGGUUGAAACUCAAAGGAAUUGACGGGGGCCCGCACAAG
RNAcentral lists this ribosomal RNA (390 nucleotides) under uncultured bacterium. RNAcentral describes it as "bacterial SSU rRNA". It matches the Rfam family "Bacterial small subunit ribosomal RNA", at positions 540 to 929 of the family's 1533-position model. The record is from RNAcentral.